RNAcentral lists this ribosomal RNA (260 nucleotides) under uncultured fungus. RNAcentral's name for it is "partial 28S ribosomal RNA". It matches the Rfam family "Eukaryotic large subunit ribosomal RNA", at positions 399 to 676 of the family's 3401-position model. The record is from RNAcentral. Lineage: Eukaryota; Fungi.
GUGAAAUUGUUGAAAGGGAAGCGCUUGCAGCCAGACUUGCUUACAGUUGCUCAUCCGGGUUUCUACCCGGUGCACUCUUCUGUAGGCAGGCCAGCAUCAGUUUGGGCGGUAGGAUAAAGGUCUCUGUCACGUACCUCCUUUCGGGGAGGCCUUAUAGGGGAGACGACAUACUACCAGCCUGGACUGAGGUCCGCGCAUCUGCUAGGAUGCUGGCGUAAUGGCUGUAAGCGGCCCGUCUUGAAACACGGACCAAGGAGUCA